Molecule: ribosomal RNA, 253 nt
Filed under: uncultured bacterium
Lineage: Bacteria
Description: partial 16S ribosomal RNA
Rfam family: Bacterial small subunit ribosomal RNA
Source: RNAcentral
UACGGGGGGGGCAAGCGUUGUUCGGAAUUACUGGGCGUAAAGGGUUCGUAGGUGGCCAAUUAAGUCAGACGUGAAAUCCCUCAGCUUAACUGGGGAACUGCGUCUGAGACUGGAUGGCUUGAGUGCAGGAGAGGAACGCGGAAUUCCAGGUGUAGCGGUGAAAUGCGUAGAUAUCUGGAGGAACACCGGUGGCGAAGGCGGCGUUCUGGACUGCAACUGACACUGAGGAACGAAAGUCAGGGGAGCAAACGGG